Molecule: long non-coding RNA, 2205 nt
Organism: Megalobrama amblycephala (Wuchang bream)
Lineage: Eukaryota; Metazoa; Chordata; Actinopteri; Cypriniformes; Xenocyprididae
Exons: 7
Source: RefSeq, a predicted model, not a curated record
CACAUGGGGGGCAUUUGCUUGUUUGGAGAGUUACUGUCAUAUUGGUGUGGGGGAAGGACACAAUACUGAACCAAAGCUCGAUUUAAUUUCAUUGUCAUUAGCCUACUUCAUUUUUUUAAAUUGUUUACACAUAGGUGACUACAUAGAAUAAAUUGUUACUGUAGAAUAAAUAGGCUAAUCACAGUAAAAAUUAAAACAAACCGGCACACAUAGGCUAUUAUAAGCGCGACUCAUGGACGGUGACGCACGCUGCAUAGAAACAGCUGCUGCCGCGACUCUGGAAAGCUGAGUUUACCGGCGCGAUAUAAAAACAUAUCAUGUUAUAUGUACUUUUAAUAAUACAUUUUUCAAAUCAUAUAUAGGCCUUCGCAACAGAUAUGACUAUUUCCAGACCAAAGUAGUGUCUGGAAAUAAAAUGAAAUAUUCUGGCACCUUUGAUUGGGUGGGCCAGCCAUCAAUCUGGGUGGGCCAGUGCCGCCCUGGCCCUUCUGUAGCCUCGCCACUGCUACACACUCUAAAAAAAAUGGUUCUUCAGCGGUUCUUUGGGGUGGUUAAGGUGCUAUAUAGCACCGCUACCUUAUAAAGAACCUGUAAAGCACCUGUAUGGUUCUUCAGCGGUUCCUUGCUGUGGUUAAGGUGCUAUAUAGCACCACUGCCAUAAAAAGAACCCGUUAAGCCUCUGUAUAGUUCUUUAAAGGUUCUCUAACUCUCUUAUUCUCUUAGUUUAGGUGGGGAAAGGAUUAAAAACAACAUUAAAUUACAGUGUAUUUUCUAAACAACCUGGUUCUCAACCUUUUUGUCCCCAAGCCCUUCUACACUGUAAAAGUGAAUAUGGGUGUAAGUUGGAUUGCUGUAACUAUUUGAGUCUAAUUACUAAUUCUUUCUGCGAAUUGCUCCCAAUAUUGUACACUCAACUACUCAAAUAUCUCACUUUCAGCCAAAGGAUAAUUUCUCUUUAAGGACCCCGUGACAGACGUUUUUUUUUUCUGACGUCAUGACUCACGAGCCUUUCUCGAGUUUUCUGCUCGGCCGCCAUUUUCUUUCCCCUGGACUCGGAUGAAUUAAGGAUCUAACGUAAAGCUCUUCAAUGUUUGACGACUAAGGACACAUUGCAAUAACUUUACAUGUGACAUUAGCCAUUGACAUUACAUUAAUCACAGAAGAUCACAGUUCCAGCUAAAAAUCUUUACUGUUCUACUGAAGAAAUAAAAAAAAAAAAGUCAACUUGGAUGGCCUGAUGACUGAAAACAUUCACCUGAGAAGUGUGUCCUGAAAGCCCUUAUCUUUUUCCUGAGAGAAAGUCCUGAAGACCUCAUCAAGGAGUACUUUCUGAGUUGAAUGAUAACCAGACAGAUGAUUGAGGAGCAGCUCACCAUGGCGAUGUUCAUUAUUUGGAAGGAGGGGGAGAACUUCAUGAACCAUCUGCUGACAUUGAGGGAGUUAAAGUUUUGAAUCAACUUACUUCAGUUACAUCAGCUUGUGCCCUGCUUCUAGGCCCACAGUUGGAAGCAGCUAUUCUCCUCUUGCCUGCACUGUUCAAGGUGGACCUGGGGUUGCUGUUUGACAUUGAGGGCCAUGCUCAGACCAGCACUCCUGUCAUCCCAACACCUAAGAUAGUGCCUAAAGCCUGCGGGAGGAUCAUCUCAUGCAGUAUGACCACAUUUUGUUCAUGUUGGAUGUCCAGUUAAUCACAGAGUAGAGUGCCAUCUUGAUGGCACUGGGCCUCCUCCUAUGUGUAUAUUUUGCAUUUGGAAUCGAAUCCAAUCCAGUAUCCUAAAGGACUGAAAGACACUGACCUUUUUGAAGUGUGUUGUUUUUAAAUUGAAGGAUGCAGUCGGACUUCCUGUCACUGUAAAAUAAACUCAAUCUGUGAGUAGACUUUCGGAGUCAAUAUUCUCUCUUGCUCCCUUUCUUACGGUUUUAGUUCCAGUUUCUAUAUUGUUUUUGAAAUCAUGAAGGACUUACAAAAAUGUUAGUGCGCUGUUGACAGUGAAAGAAACUGCAGGACUUCAGAGCAUUACUCAGUAUGUAAAAACAGGAGUAUUGUCUUCAAAAAUGUACAUAUUUCAAGCUUGUUCCAUUAUUAUACAUUUGUAUGUGUAUAAAAGGGUAGUAUAAUGUGAUGUGGUACAUGUAUAUUCCCUGACUUGUCAGCACUGAGUUUAUUUGCUGCUGAAAGAAAUAAAUUAAAAGGUUUUGAAAGUG